RNAcentral lists this ribosomal RNA (253 nucleotides) under uncultured bacterium. RNAcentral describes it as "partial 16S ribosomal RNA". It matches the Rfam family "Bacterial small subunit ribosomal RNA", at positions 524 to 776 of the family's 1533-position model. The record is from RNAcentral.
UACGGAGGUGGCAAGCGUUGCUCGGAUUUAUUGGGUGUAAAGGGCACGUAGGCGGCCUUGUAAGCCCUGCUUGAAAGGCCCGGGCUUAACCUGGGUACGUGGUGGGGGACUGCAAGGCUUGAGGGUGGGAGAGGUCAGUGGAAUUCCCGGUGUAAGGGUGAAAUCUGUAGAUAUCGGGAGGAACACCAGUGGCGAAGGCGACUGACUGGACCACUUCUGACGCUGAGGUGCGAAAACUAGGGGAGCAAACAGG